CGUGGGAUGACAUGGCUCGGCGCCCUCCAGCUGCUGCUGCCGCUGCCUGUCCUGCUGGGUGGCCACCUCCUCUCAGGGAAGAAGAGCACUCACAACUGCUGCUGAUCUCCUUCCAGGGCUUCCGCUGGGACUAGGAUCAGGAUGUGGACACCCCCAACCUGGACCAUCUGGCCGGGGAGGGCGUCAAGGCCAAGUACCUCAUGCCGCCCCUUGUCACAAUGACCUCCCCGUCCCACUUCACUGCCAUCCCAGAAUCCCAGUGGCCACUAAAAUAGAGGGAUUCCAACCCAAAAAGGAGGAAGAGGAGGCUGCUGGAAAGCAAAGGACUCUGUGUAAGAAUCAUAAUAGUGGGGGUGGAGCCAAGAUGGCCGAAUAGGAACAGCUCCAGUCUACAACUCCUGGCAUGAGCGAUGCAGAAGACAGGUGAUUUCUGCAUUUCCAACUGAGGUACUGGGUUCAUCUCACUGGGGAGUGUCAGAAAGUGGGUGCAGGACACUUGGUGCAGUGCACUGAGCAUGAGCCCAAGCAGGGCGAGGCAUUGCCUCACCCGGGAAGUGCAAGGGGUCAGAGAAUUCCCUUCCCUAGUCAAAGAAACGGGUGACAGAUGGCACCUGGAAAAUUGGGUCACUCCCACCCUAAUACUGCACUUUUCCAACAGUCUUAGCAAACGGCACACCAGGAGAUUAUAUCCCGUGCAUGGCUCAGAGGGUCCUAAACCCAUGGAGCCUCACUCAUUGCUAGCACAGCAGCAUUGAGAUCAAACUGCAAGGUGGCAGCAAGGCUGGGGGAGGGGCACCUGCCAUUGCCUAGGCUUCAGUAGGUAAACAAAGCAGCUGGAAAGCUCCAACUGGGUGGAGCCCAACACAGCUCAAGGAGGCCUGCCUGCCUCUGUAGGCUUCACCUCUGGGGGCAGGGCAUUGGUAAACAAAAGGCAGCAGAAUCCUCUGCAGACUUAAAUAUCCCUGUCUGACAGCUUUGAAGAGAGUAGUGGUUCUCCCAGCAUGCAGCUGGAGAUCUGAGAAUGGACAGACUGCCUCCUCAAGUGGGUCCCUGACCCCCGAGUUGCCUAACAGGAGGCACCCCACCGCAGGGGCAGACUGACACCUCACAUGGCCGGGUACUCCUCUGAGACAAAACUUCCAGAGGAACAAUCAGGCAGCAACAUUUGCUGCUCACCCAUAUCCGCUGUUCUGCAGCCUCCACUGCUGACACCCAGGCAAACUCCAACAGACCUGCAGCUGAGGGUCCUGACUCUUAGAAGGAAAACUAACAAACAGAAAAGACAUCCACACUAAAACCCCAUCUGUACGUCACCAUCAUCAAAGACCAAAGGUAGAUAAAAC
This 1343-nucleotide long non-coding RNA is filed under the name Pan troglodytes (chimpanzee). RNAcentral describes it as "long non-coding RNA NONPTRT012105". Lineage: Eukaryota; Metazoa; Chordata; Mammalia; Primates; Hominidae. The record is from RNAcentral.